Molecule: ribosomal RNA, 89 nt
Filed under: Astragalus lasioglottis
Lineage: Eukaryota; Viridiplantae; Streptophyta; Magnoliopsida; Fabales; Fabaceae
Description: partial 26S ribosomal RNA
Rfam family: Eukaryotic large subunit ribosomal RNA
Source: RNAcentral
CGAGACCUCAAGGUCAGGCGGGGCUACCCGCUGAAUUUAAGCAUAUCAAUAAGCGGAGGGAAAAGAAACUAACAAGGAUUCCCUUAGUA